Molecule: ribosomal RNA, 465 nt
Filed under: Vreelandella stevensii
Lineage: Bacteria; Pseudomonadati; Pseudomonadota; Gammaproteobacteria; Oceanospirillales; Halomonadaceae
Description: partial 16S ribosomal RNA
Rfam family: Bacterial small subunit ribosomal RNA
Source: RNAcentral
CCUACGGGGGGCUGCAGUGGGGAAUAUUGGACAAUGGGGGCAACCCUGAUCCAGCCAUGCCGCGUGUGUGAAGAAGGCCCUCGGGUUGUAAAGCACUUUCAGUGAGGAAGAACGCCUGGUGGUUAAUACCCAUCAGGAAAGACAUCACUCACAGAAGAAGCACCGGCUAACUCCGUGCCAGCAGCCGCGGUAAUACGGAGGGUGCGAGCGUUAAUCGGAAUUACUGGGCGUAAAGCGCGCGUAGGUGGCUUGAUAAGCCGGUUGUGAAAGCCCCGGGCUCAACCUGGGAACGGCAUCCGGAACUGUCCAGCUAGAGUGCAGGAGAGGAAGGUAGAAUUCCCGGUGUAGCGGUGAAAUGCGUAGAGAUCGGGAGGAAUACCAGUGGCGAAGGCGGCCUUCUGGACUGACACUGACACUGAGGUGCGAAAGCGUGGGUAGCAAACAGGAUUAGAUACCCCUGUAGUC